This 458-nucleotide ribosomal RNA is filed under the name uncultured bacterium. RNAcentral describes it as "partial 16S ribosomal RNA". It matches the Rfam family "Bacterial small subunit ribosomal RNA", at positions 338 to 795 of the family's 1533-position model. The record is from RNAcentral.
CCUACGGGAGGCAGCAGUGAGGAAUAUUGGUCAAUGGGCGGGAGCCUGAACCAGCCAUGCCGCGUGAAGGCGAGUGCCCUACGGGCGUUAAACUUCUUUUGUGCGGGAGCAAUAAGGGCCACGCGUGGCCCGAUGAGAGUACCGCACGAAUAAGCAUCGGCUAACUCCGUGCCAGCAGCCGCGGUAAUACGGGGGAUGCGAGCGUUGUCCGGAAUUACUGGGUGUAAAGGGAGCGUAGGCGGGGAUGCAAGUUGGGUGUUAAAUCUACCGGCUCAACUGGUAGUCGCACUCAAAACUGCAGCUCUUGAGUGAAGUAGAGGUAGGCGGAAUUCGUGGUGUAGCGGUGAAAUGCGUAGAUAUUAGGAGGAACACCGGUGGCGAAGGCGGCCUGCUGGGCUUUUACUGACGCUGAGGCUCGAAAGUGUGGGGAGCAAACAGGAUUAGAUACCCCAGUAGUC